This 2253-nucleotide ribosomal RNA is filed under the name Escherichia coli. Its description in RNAcentral is "partial 23S ribosomal RNA". It matches the Rfam family "Bacterial large subunit ribosomal RNA", at positions 696 to 2925 of the family's 2925-position model. Lineage: Bacteria; Pseudomonadati; Pseudomonadota; Gammaproteobacteria; Enterobacterales; Enterobacteriaceae. The record is from RNAcentral.
UAAGUUGCAGGGUAUAGACCCGAAACCCGGUGAUCUAGCCAUGGGCAGGUUGAAGGUUGGGUAACACUAACUGGAGGACCGAACCGACUAAUGUUGAAAAAUUAGCGGAUGACUUGUGGCUGGGGGUGAAAGGCCAAUCAAACCGGGAGAUAGCUGGUUCUCCCCGAAAGCUAUUUAGGUAGCGCCUCGUGAAUUCAUCUCCGGGGGUAGAGCACUGUUUCGGCAAGGGGGUCAUCCCGACUUACCAACCCGAUGCAAACUGCGAAUACCGGAGAAUGUUAUCACGGGAGACACACGGCGGGUGCUAACGUCCGUCGUGAAGAGGGAAACAACCCAGACCGCCAGCUAAGGUCCCAAAGUCAUGGUUAAGUGGGAAACGAUGUGGGAAGGCCCAGACAGCCAGGAUGUUGGCUUAGAAGCAGCCAUCAUUUAAAGAAAGCGUAAUAGCUCACUGGUCGAGUCGGCCUGCGCGGAAGAUGUAACGGGGCUAAACCAUGCACCGAAGCUGCGGCAGCGACACUAUGUGUUGUUGGGUAGGGGAGCGUUCUGUAAGCCUGUGAAGGUGGCCUGUGAGGGUUGCUGGAGGUAUCAGAAGUGCGAAUGCUGACAUAAGUAACGAUAAAGCGGGUGAAAAGCCCGCUCGCCGGAAGACCAAGGGUUCCUGUCCAACGUUAAUCGGGGCAGGGUGAGUCGACCCCUAAGGCGAGGCCGAAAGGCGUAGUCGAUGGGAAACAGGUUAAUAUUCCUGUACUUGGUGUUACUGCGAAGGGGGGACGGAGAAGGCUAUGUUGGCCGGGCGACGGUUGUCCCGGUUUAAGCGUGUAGGCUGGUUUUCCAGGCAAAUCCGGAAAACCAAGGCUGAGGCGUGAUGACGAGGCACUACGGUGCUGAAGCGACAAAUGCCCUGCUUCCAGGAAAAGCCUCUAAGCAUCAGGUAACAUCAAAUCGUACCCCAAACCGACACAGGUGGUCAGGUAGAGAAUACCAAGGCGCUUGAGAGAACUCGGGUGAAGGAACUAGGCAAAAUGGUGCCGUAACUUCGGGAGAAGGCACGCUGAUAUGUAGGUGAAGCGACUUGCUCGUGGAGCUGAAAUCAGUCGAAGAUACCAGCUGGCUGCAACUGUUUAUUAAAAACACAGCACUGUGCAAACACGAAAGUGGACGUAUACGGUGUGACGCCUGCCCGGUGCCGGAAGGUUAAUUGAUGGGGUUAGCGGUAACGCGAAGCUCUUGAUCGAAGCCCCGGUAAACGGCGGCCGUAACUAUAACGGUCCUAAGGUAGCGAAAUUCCUUGUCGGGUAAGUUCCGACCUGCACGAAUGGCGUAAUGAUGGCCAGGCUGUCUCCACCCGAGACUCAGUGAAAUUGAACUCGCUGUGAAGAUGCAGUGUACCCGCGGCAAGACGGAAAGACCCCGUGAACCUUUACUAUAGCUUGACACUGAACAUUGAGCCUUGAUGUGUAGGAUAGGUGGGAGGCUUUGAAGUGUGGACGCCAGUCUGCAUGGAGCCGACCUUGAAAUACCACCCUUUAAUGUUUGAUGUUCUAACGUUGGCCCGUAAUCCGGGUUGCGGACAGUGUCUGGUGGGUAGUUUGACUGGGGCGGUCUCCUCCUAAAGAGUAACGGAGGAGCACGAAGGUUGGCUAAUCCUGGUCGGACAUCAGGAGGUUAGUGCAAUGGCAUAAGCCAGCUUGACUGCGAGCGUGACGGCGCGAGCAGGUGCGAAAGCAGGUCAUAGUGAUCCGGUGGUUCUGAAUGGAAGGGCCAUCGCUCAACGGAUAAAAGGUACUCCGGGGAUAACAGGCUGAUACCGCCCAAGAGUUCAUAUCGACGGCGGUGUUUGGCACCUCGAUGUCGGCUCAUCACAUCCUGGGGCUGAAGUAGGUCCCAAGGGUAUGGCUGUUCGCCAUUUAAAGUGGUACGCGAGCUGGGUUUAGAACGUCGUGAGACAGUUCGGUCCCUAUCUGCCGUGGGCGCUGGAGAACUGAGGGGGGCUGCUCCUAGUACGAGAGGACCGGAGUGGACGCAUCACUGGUGUUCGGGUUGUCAUGCCAAUGGCACUGCCCGGUAGCUAAAUGCGGAAGAGAUAAGUGCUGAAAGCAUCUAAGCACGAAACUUGCCCCGAGAUGAGUUCUCCCUGAGACUUAGAGUCUCCUGAAGGAACGUUGAAGACGACGACGUUGAUAGGCCGGGUGUGUAAGCGCAGCGAUGCGUUGAGCUAACCGGUACUAAUGAACCGUGAGGCUUAACCUU